This 263-nucleotide ribosomal RNA is filed under the name uncultured prokaryote. RNAcentral's name for it is "partial 16S ribosomal RNA". It matches the Rfam family "Bacterial small subunit ribosomal RNA", at positions 524 to 786 of the family's 1533-position model. The record is from RNAcentral.
UACGGAGGAUCCGAGCGUUAUCCGGAAUUAUUGGGUUUAAAGGGUGCGUAGGCGGCCAUUUAAGUCAGCGGUGAAAUUUUGCAGCUUAACUGUAACAGUGCCGUUGAUACUGUUUGGCUAGGAUUUGGUUGUAGUGUGCGGAAUGUGUGGUGUAGCGGUGAAAUGCUUAGAUAUCACACAGAACACCGAUUGCGAAGGCAGCACACUAAGUCAUUAUUGACGCUGAGGCACGAAAGUGUGGGGAGCAAACCGGAUUAGAUACA